RNAcentral lists this long non-coding RNA (351 nucleotides) under Stegodyphus dumicola. RNAcentral's name for it is "uncharacterized LOC118189258, transcript variant X1". Lineage: Eukaryota; Metazoa; Arthropoda; Arachnida; Araneae; Eresidae. The record is from RNAcentral.
AAAUUACAGCAUUUGGUUUUAAUUCUUCUAAUAAGUGCAGUACAAUACCACAAGUUUUCCAGCCAAAUGCGAAAAUUCCACACCUUUAUCACGAGGAAAUCUGCAAUGGCAUUUAGGAAUGACAAAUAGAAGCUCAACUAUUCGAAGCAGGAGACCGAAGAGAAAAAAGGAAGAGAGAUGAUAUUACAGCUGCAGAAAAGGAAAUAAUUAAAACGCAGAAGAAUAUAUUAAUGUACUGUGUGAAAUAUGUGACUUGUAUAAGCAAUCAGUUGCAAAUCAGUCUGCUGUCAUAGAAAAUCAAAAUAUAAUUAUUAAUUUAUUAAAAAAAUAAAUCAUGCAUUUCAAAUAUUA